This 451-nucleotide ribosomal RNA is filed under the name marine bacterium 13704. RNAcentral describes it as "bacterial SSU rRNA". It matches the Rfam family "Bacterial small subunit ribosomal RNA", at positions 37 to 480 of the family's 1533-position model. The record is from RNAcentral. Lineage: Bacteria; Pseudomonadati; Pseudomonadota; Gammaproteobacteria; Alteromonadales; Pseudoalteromonadaceae.
CGAAUACGUGGCGGCAGCUACACAUGCAAGUCGAGCGGUAACAUUUCUAGCUUGCUAGAAGAUGACGAGCGGCGGACGGGUGAGUAAUGCUUGGGAACAUGCCUUGAGGUGGGGGACAACCAUUGGAAACGAUGGCUAAUACCGCAUAAUGUCUACGGACCAAAGGGGGCUUCGGCUCUCGCCUUUAGAUUGGCCCAAGUGGGAUUAGCUAGUUGGUGAGGUAAAGGCUCACCAAGGCGACGAUCCCUAGCUGGUUUGAGAGGAUGAUCAGCCACACUGGAACUGAGACACGGUCCAGACUCCUACGGGAGGCAGCAGUGGGGAAUAUUGCACAAUGGGCGCAAGCCUGAUGCAGCCAUGCCGCGUGUGUGAAGAAGGCCUUCGGGUUGUAAAGCACUUUCAGUCAGGAGGAAAGGUUAGUAGUUAAUACCUGCUAGCUGUGACGUUACUG